Molecule: long non-coding RNA, 662 nt
Filed under: Pan troglodytes (chimpanzee)
Lineage: Eukaryota; Metazoa; Chordata; Mammalia; Primates; Hominidae
Description: long non-coding RNA NONPTRT006073
Source: RNAcentral
GCUCAGUCUUUGGGUCCAUGCUGCCUUUAUGAGUUGUAACACUCACCCGGAAGGUCUGCAGCUUCACUCCUGAGACCAGGAGCCCACCGGGAGGGAAAGAGCAACUCCAGACACGCUGCCUUAAGAGCUGUAACACUCACUGUGAAAGGCUGCAGCUUCACUCCUCAGCCAGCGACACCACAAACCCGCCAGAAGGAAGAAACGCCGAACACAUCCGAACAUCAGAAGGAACAAAUUCCAGACAUGCUGCCUUUAAAGAACUGUGACACUCACCGUGAGGGUCCGUGGCUUCAUUCUUGAAGUCACUGAGACCAAGAACCUACUAAUUCUGGAGACAGCAGGACGGGGAGUUAGUCCACGUGAAACCCAUCUGGUUUUACUAAUUGGCUCUUACUGACGACUAAAAAGGAGGAAGAAGAGCUUUCUCUGGAAAUGAAAUCAAGCAGCUUUCCUUGUAUUGAAAGGAAAGCGGCUGAAGACAGAGUGUUCCAAGAACCAAGAGAAUGAAUGUGGCUGAUGUGUGGAGAGAAGAGAUGGACCAAGAUGAGACUGGAAAGUCUACUGCUGGGGCUGUUAACCAAACCCAACUCAUAAAGCAGAGGAUAAGAGAUCUUUUGACACAGUCUGGAAAAGGUAGGCUCUCUGGCAUCUGUGUAUAGCUC